Molecule: ribosomal RNA, 253 nt
Filed under: uncultured bacterium
Lineage: Bacteria
Description: partial 16S ribosomal RNA
Rfam family: Bacterial small subunit ribosomal RNA
Source: RNAcentral
UACGGAGGGUGCAAGCGUUACCCGGAAUCACUGGGCGUAAAGGGCGUGUAGGCGGACUGUUAAGUCUGGCUUUAAAGACCGAGGCUCAACCUCGGGAAUGGGCUGGAUACUGGGAGUCUAGACCUCUGGAGAGGUACUCGGAAUUUCUGGUGUAGCGGUGGAAUGCGUAGAGAUCGGGAAGAACAUCAGUGGCGAAGGCGGCCUGCUGGGCUGUUGCUGACGCUGAGGCGCGACAGCGUGGGGAGCAAACAGG